Molecule: long non-coding RNA, 431 nt
Organism: Sapajus apella (tufted capuchin)
Lineage: Eukaryota; Metazoa; Chordata; Mammalia; Primates; Cebidae
Exons: 2
Source: RefSeq, a predicted model, not a curated record
ACCAUUUUAAGACGCCGGAAUACCCGUGAGGGGACGCGCACUCCCAACGGGGCGGAGCUAAGAGCGCCGCGCCCAAAAAAGGCGGCAAAGUCCCUGACACGCUGAGAACUUGUGAGUCGCCAUGUCUAUGCUCUCCGACGGCACGCCGUGCUUCCCCUCAGGCACCUUUCACCGUUAGGGAUGAGGGCCCCGCGGCGGUUCUGGGAGCACAGAACUUUCUUCCACCGGCGGAGGCCCGGAGGCCCCUGAGGAGUCCCUGCCAGUUCCAAGAUCGACAGCGCCUUUGUCUCUGGGUCAUCGUUCAUGCCUGCCCUGCCUGCUCCAGGGUGAUCGUGGGAAUGGAGCGGGACGUGUUGUACCAGAAUUGCUUUGAGAACUAAAAUGUUGUACAUGUUCUUAUUUACUUUAAACUUCACAAAUACAGGCCAGGA